AAGGAAGGGAAGAUUGUGGACAAAGUGACGGGAGCAAAGAAAGAAGAGCUUCAGCAGACUGUGAUAAAGCAUAUGGCUGCCACCAGUACUACUUCUUCAGCUUGAUUUUAUGAUAAUUAUUAGUUCAACUGUUUUUAUCUUUAAUGUUUGGAGGAACUUGACCUCAUGAUUAUGUCCUGCUACAUCUCUUAUGUUAUUAGACCUUAAGUUUCUUUAUCUAUGGAUCUUUCAUUUUAUUUAAAGCAUGCAUAUAUUAUCAGCGUUCUUCGUUCUUUACGGUAUCUAGUAUACGUUUUUUAAACUAUCUUAUAGCAUUUUAGCUUUACAGUAUCAAGGAAGGGAAGAUUGUGGACAAAGUGACGGGAGCAAAGAAAGAAGAGCUUCAGCAGACUGUGAUAAAGCAUAUGGCUGCCACCAGUACUACUUCUUCAGCUUGAUUUUAUGAUAAUUAUUAGUUCAACUGUUUUUAUCUUUAAUGUUUGGAGGAACUUGACCUCAUGAUUAUGUCCUGCUACAUCUCUUAUGUUAUUAGACCUUAAGUUUCUUUAUCUAUGGAUCUUUCAUUUUAUUUAAAGCAUGCAUAUAUUAUCAGCGUUCUUCGUUCUUUACAGUAUCUAGUAUACGUUUU
This 628-nucleotide long non-coding RNA is filed under the name Gossypium barbadense (sea-island cotton). RNAcentral's name for it is "long non-coding RNA (GBAR_LNC019764)". Lineage: Eukaryota; Viridiplantae; Streptophyta; Magnoliopsida; Malvales; Malvaceae. The record is from RNAcentral.